RNAcentral lists this ribosomal RNA (492 nucleotides) under Picrasma chinensis. RNAcentral's name for it is "eukaryotic LSU rRNA". The stretch from base 5 to 160 matches the Rfam family "5.8S ribosomal RNA". The record is from RNAcentral. Lineage: Eukaryota; Viridiplantae; Streptophyta; Magnoliopsida; Sapindales; Simaroubaceae.
CAACGACUCUCGGCAACGGAUAUCUCGGCUCUCGCAUCGAUGAAGAACGUAGCGAAAUGCGAUACUUGGUGUGAAUUGCAGAAUCCCGUGAACCAUCGAGUCUUUGAACGCAAGUUGCGCCCCAAGCCGUUAGGCCGAGGGCACGUCUGCCUGGGUGUCACGCAUCGUCGCCCCCCUCGCACCCGCCUCCCCGAGGCGGAGCGGUCGGGCGGAAACUGGCCUCCCGUGCGCUCCCCGCGGGCGGUUGGCCGAAAUUCGAGUCCUCGGCGACGGUCGCCGCGACGAUCGGUGGUGAAAGCAAAGCCUCGAGCUCCCCGUCGCGCGCCGCCGUCCCCGGGCAAGGGCUCCCGGACCCUGAUGCGCCGAACCGCGCUCGCGCCCGCGACCCCAGGUCAGGCGGGACUACCCGCUGAGUUUAAGCAUAUCAAUAAGCGGAGGAAAAGAAACUUACCAGGAUUCCCCUAGUAACGGCGAGCGAACCGGGAAGAGCCC